This 69-nucleotide transfer RNA is filed under the name Urocitellus parryii (Arctic ground squirrel). Its description in RNAcentral is "Spermophilus parryii (Arctic ground squirrel) tRNA". It matches the Rfam family "tRNA". Rfam says of the family: Transfer RNA (tRNA) molecules are approximately 80 nucleotides in length. Their secondary structure includes four short double-helical elements and three loops (D, anti-codon, and T loops). RNAcentral also lists the same sequence under 2 other names. Lineage: Eukaryota; Metazoa; Chordata; Mammalia; Rodentia; Sciuridae. The record is from Rfam by way of RNAcentral.
GGGGUUGUAGCUCAGUGGUAGAGCACUUGCUUAGCAUGUGUGAGGCACUGGGUUUGAUUCUCAGCACCA